AGCUUCCUACAAUUAUCCUCAUCUCAUGGAAAAACUAGACAGAGGAAAAGAAAAGAGGCAAAUGGAGCUUCCUUUGCUAAGAGCUCAAAUAACUCUCCUCUACAUAGUCUUCUUCAAACAAAAACACAAAGCUAAUUUUCCAUUUACUCUUUGAGAGUUCCACAGAAAAACAACCUGAAACAACCCUUUUACUUCAUCAGCCAGGUUAUUCAUACUGAUGACCAAGGUUCAGCUACAGCCUCCUCUGUGGUACUUCUUCAGUCUCUG
Molecule: long non-coding RNA, 267 nt
Filed under: Homo sapiens (human)
Lineage: Eukaryota; Metazoa; Chordata; Mammalia; Primates; Hominidae
Source: RNAcentral